Molecule: ribosomal RNA, 505 nt
Filed under: uncultured bacterium
Lineage: Bacteria
Description: bacterial SSU rRNA
Rfam family: Bacterial small subunit ribosomal RNA
Source: RNAcentral
GAUCCUGGCUCAGGAUGAACGCUAGCGGCAGGCUUAACACAUGCAAGUCGAGGGGCAGCAUGAGACGGAGAUUCGUCGAAGUCUUGAUGGCGACCGGCGCAAGGGUGCGUAACGCGUGAGCAACUUGCCCGUUUCUGGGGAAUAACCGGUGGAAACGCCGACUAAUACCCCAUAGUAUUGACUUUGGGCAUCCUUAGUUAAUUAAAGAAAUUCGGAAACGGAUAGGCUCGCGUGACAUUAGCUGGAUGGCGGGGUAACGGCCCACCAUGGCAACGAUGUCUAGGGGUUCUGAGAGGAAGGUCCCCCACACUGGAACUGAGACACGGUCCAGACUCCUACGGGAGGCAGCAGUGAGGAAUAUUGGUCAAUGGUCUGACGACUGAACCAGCCAUGCCGCGUGAAGGUCACGGCCCUAUGGGUCUUAAACUUCUUUUGUAAGGGAGCAAUAAGCUUUACGUGUAGAGUGAUGAGAGUACCUUACGAAUAAGCAUCGGCUAACUCCGUG